UUUUGGAUAGGUAAAUGUUAUUUCUUAGCUAAUUAUAUUGUCAGAGUUUGCUGCAAAAUAAUUUUAAAUUGGGUGAAACUGAACAGAAAGUGAAAAAUUAUUGUAAAAGUAGAGAUAUACACUGGCAAAAAGUUAAGAAGAAAAACUGUAAAACUAUGCACUCCCCACCAAUCAUCGGUUCUAUUUCCUUUUUUUUUUUUUUUAAGUUAUAGCGACGAAAAAUAUGCUAUUAGGCAUGGUUUUGUAGUGAAUUACGAAGAUUGUAAGGAUUUGGUAAGGCAAGUUAUAUUACAUUUGGUAUGACUCCUUAAGUACUUAACCGUAUAUAAGUAAGAGAAAGAAAACAAAAGAGUUCGGUAGACAAUAAGGGUGAAAUGCUCACUUAGGCAAAAC
RNAcentral lists this long non-coding RNA (393 nucleotides) under Capsella rubella. RNAcentral's name for it is "long non-coding RNA (CRUB_LNC004488)". Lineage: Eukaryota; Viridiplantae; Streptophyta; Magnoliopsida; Brassicales; Brassicaceae. The record is from RNAcentral.